AUCCAGCUGACGAGUCCCAAAUAGGACGAAACGCACGUGCUGGAU
Molecule: non-coding RNA, 45 nt
Organism: Schistosoma margrebowiei
Lineage: Eukaryota; Metazoa; Platyhelminthes; Trematoda; Strigeidida; Schistosomatidae
Source: Rfam